GUCACGCGUCGGUCAUCGCCAACACCGGCCAGCAGAUGUCUACCACCCUUGUUCCAUCAGAUUCACCACCAGUCAGAGUCAAAACUCUGUUCAUAUAUCUUCAUCUUUGUUCCUCAUCUCAUGGUUCUCCAUCUUCAACUUGACACAGACAGUACCAAAGCGGAGCUGCCCUUAUUUCAUUUUCAUAUAUCUUGCUCUUAAGAAUUUGGGGUGGAAUCAUCAAGAUGAUUUGUGAACUUGAACAAGUCGUUGAUUACGGUCUUAGAAAUUAUGAUUUCUUGGCCUUUUACAAAACUCCUUAAGGCAAAAAAUCCAUCUAUUGUGAUAAAGACAAGUUGCAAAGGACUAUCUUCACCAAAGUUGGGUAAGUGAUAGAGCAAGGGUCUAAUAAUUUAUCGGGUGAGGAUUCAAUGAAAGAAGAAACAAUGUCAAAAUGCUUAAAAACAAAGAACGUAUAAUCCAGUAAAUCAACAAAAGAAAGAGAGCCAUGCUCAAAGAUAUCGAUCCACUUACCAAAAGUUGUGUGGUUUUCAAACCAAGUUUUGGGUACCUCGAGGGCAGCAAGUGGAGAGGGUAUGGAAGGUGCUGGACUUUCAAGGCUAGAAGACCUUGCAGACGAUUCAUCCUUCUCCUUUUUCUUUGAUGAACAAAUGAGUUUUCUUUUAGGAGCCAUUGUUGUAUGCUUGAAGAAAUUUAGAAAACGGAAUUUAGUUCUUAAGAGAAAGGGACAAGAAAUGUUUCUGAAAUGGGCAAGUGGAAAGGACGGUGCAAAUGGGGGUUAAUAAAGAGAUUGUACUACUUGAUGUGAAGGCAAUAAAUAGGGGUUCAUAACUGUAUAAUGCUUUGUUUAGUUGAAAUACAUGAUUAGAUGGAUUAAUGUUUUUAAACCAUGUGGUUGUUUAAAAUAGACUUCUUGUAAAUAGCAAUUUAAAAAUGCACAUUUAAUAUCCAUUUGAUAUAGUUUAAUAUUCAUGUAAGAAGCAAAAGAAAGAAUAAUUCGAAUAGACUCUAAUCUAGCAACAUGCGCAAAAGUUUCAUCGUAA
Molecule: long non-coding RNA, 1043 nt
Organism: Amaranthus tricolor (Joseph's coat)
Lineage: Eukaryota; Viridiplantae; Streptophyta; Magnoliopsida; Caryophyllales; Amaranthaceae
Exons: 3
Source: RefSeq, a predicted model, not a curated record